AUGGCGGACCUCGUCCCGCUGAAUAAUAAUCCGUACGACGGCGGCGGCGGCGAGGCCGAGGCCGUGGUGGCGGAGCCUGAGGAGCGGAGCAGGCUUAGCUCAUCUGCGCGGUGGGUCUCUACUACCUUGUCUUCCGCGCCUUCUCCAACCUGCUGCUCACCGGCCGGCGGUUUCCACCGCCACGGCAUAAUCGUAUAUAACAAACCGAGGGUAGCUUGUGUAUACAAAAAAGAUCACCCAUGGCACGGCGUCUCACCUGGUGGUGAAGCUACACAUAGACGGAGCGGCUUGCCCUUGUUCGCGUCACCAUUGAGGCGCAGCGGAGCUACGUGUGGAGCUGGCGACCCAACACGUGGCGUAGUUGUUGCUCCAUCAAUGUGGGGGAAUUUUUUGAAGCGUAAACACCGAGAAGAUGAUGAGUUAGCCAUCAUCGAAGCCGUAUACAAAGGCGAGAGAGGUUCAAGCAAUCGCCAACGUAUUCACACUUCCAUCCUUACGGGGCAUGAGUACCUCAUGCAGUUGCCACCAGUUAAUGUUCCUUUGAAGGUUUCAAGCAACCCUAAAUUUAUGCCGUACUUUCAGGAUUGUAUCGGAGCAAUUGAUGGGACGCAUGUUCCAAUUAGCAUAUCUCCAAGACUACAAGACCCAUAUCGCAAUAGAAAAGGAACAUUAUCACAAAAUGUCAUGGUGGCAUGUAAUUUUGAUAAUCAAUUCGUCCAUGUUAGUGCGGGCUGGGAAGGUUCAGCUUCUGAUGCUCGAGUGCUACAAGAUGCACUAGAAAAUAAUUUCUAUGUGCCAGAGGGAAAAUUUUAUUUGGUUGAUGCAGGAUAUGCAAAUACACCUAAUUUUAUUGCACCCUACCGAAAUGUCAGGUACCAUUUGAACGAGCAAGCCAAAUGCAACCAAAGGCCACAAAAUGCUAAAGAGCUAUUCAAUCUCAGGCAUGCACAACUCCGUAAUCACAUCGAGCGCAUCAUUGGCGUUGUGAAGCAGCGUUUCCCGGUAUUGAAGUGUGCUUCACAUUACCCAAUUGAAUCUCAACCUGAUAUUGUCAUAGCAUGUUGUGCACUUCAUAACUUUAUUCGCAAUCACGAGGGGGGCGAACAAUGGUUUGACCAGGUUGGCUCCAAUAUUGACCCAAUACAUAUAGUUGAUAUUCCAAGUGGGGAUGCAAAAUACAGAAGUGAUGUACAGUCUCUCAAUGAGCGGCGUGCAUUGGGUCAUUCAAAAAGAGAUCAAAUUGCUGAAUCAAUGUGGAAAGACUACUGUGAGUAUCUCCAGGAGCGUGCUAGAAGAAAUAGCACAUGA
RNAcentral lists this ribosomal RNA (1308 nucleotides) under Triticum aestivum (bread wheat). RNAcentral describes it as "partial small subunit ribosomal RNA". The record is from RNAcentral. Lineage: Eukaryota; Viridiplantae; Streptophyta; Magnoliopsida; Poales; Poaceae.